This 498-nucleotide unclassified non-coding RNA is filed under the name Hevea brasiliensis (rubber tree). Lineage: Eukaryota; Viridiplantae; Streptophyta; Magnoliopsida; Malpighiales; Euphorbiaceae. The record is from RNAcentral.
AAACAUCAAGAAACUGCAAGCUAGAUAGGUUUCCCAAAGCUGGAGGAACUGCUCCACUGAACCCAGCUUUUGAUAGAUUCAAAUAUUGCAAACUUUGCAGGGAUCCUAAGAAUUCAGGAAUUGGGAUUUGAUUAAAUGUGUUGAGACUCAAGUCCAGGUACUGUAAAGACUUAAUUUUUAGCACUGAUGGUCUGAUCUCACCACUCAAGUUCCAAAACUCGGGCCUGCUUGUACUCAAAGAAUAUGCAGAACUUACUGGAUAUGGGUUGUGGAGAUCAAUGGAAAUGACAGCACCAGUUCUAUUAUUGCAGCUGAUACCCUCCCACUGACAACAGUUGCUCCCUUGCCAUGAUGAGAGCCGGUUCCCAGAAUCUCGAAGGCCAUUUUUGAAGUCAAUAAGAGCUUGUAGAUCAGAUUGGGAACAGGUCUUGGAAAGGCCAUCUCCAUUACAACCAAAAUCACUAGUUAGGAUGCUAAGAAUUGCAAGAACGAAACCAA